GAGGGCAGGAAAGCUUCAGGUAUAGGGUCUGACCUACCUGACCAGAAUGAAGUGCUCACUAUACGUGAACAUGAAGUAGGGGCUGCAGAGAGUGAGGUCACCACCGAGGGAUUGCUGGACAUCUCCAGAGGGAUCUCGUUCUGGGGAGGGCGGGGGAUUGGUGGCCACUAAUCCCGAGUAUCCUAGUUCACACCUAGUCAAGAGGCUUUGCAUGUGAGAUUAGAAAUUCAUUUGUUCCUGUAUUCAUUUGACAUGUACAGACUUACCUACAUGCCUGUGCCGGCACCAUGCUCGGUAUGGAGUGAGACCCUGCCUUAGGGGGCCUUCAGUACUAGGGGCCGGUGUGAAUUAAGUGUUCACGGUGAAGAAGGGGAUGUUACCUCUUGGUAUUGCUCAGGAACUGGAGGGUAGAGAAUUCUUGCAGAAGGAGGUGACACAUGGGUGUGGGGGUGCUGGAGAGUAGGGAAGGGUGCUUAGUCCAAGGGUCAACAUGAACAGAGGCCCUGAGGGCUCAAGGAACAUAUAUCCCCCUAGAAUUGAUAACCUAAUCUUGAGUGGGGGGGCAGGGGCCGUCUGAGAGACCCGCCUGACCCCCUGUACCUGGAGAGAAGUUGGACAGGGAUUCUGAGUGCCUGGGGCAUAGCCAGGAUUUGGCAGUGGUUUAGAGCUCUAGGUCACAGUAGCAGGGGGCUGCAGCCGGGAAGAGCAGAGUCAGGGACCCUCCCCCUCUGCAGGCAUUCCUGGGGUGCACCACCCUUCCUGAGUAUUCCCUGCCCCUCUCUGGUUUGUGACAGUGGCACUUCUACUCACUGAGCAGGCGCUGAGAGUGAGGCCUCACACCAAGCGUGUAUCACUUGGACCCGUCCUCAUCACCCUCCAGGGAACCAGAGGCAAUCAGUAUCCCCACUUUCUUUUUCACAUUAACAUAUGGAUGCAGAGAGGUAAAGAUACCUUCCUGAGAUCACACAGCAAGUCCAUGGCCUACCUAUCUGGAUGCUUUUUCUUCCCUCUAGAGACGGUUGACCGGUAAACAUAGAAGAGUGACCCCAAACUCGUCUGCCUUCCCACCCCACAACUUGUUAGCUGGAUUUUGCUUAAACAAAUUGCUGGUUCCUCUUCCUCCCCAGGCUUCUCCAUGCAAAAGAGCCUCUAGGCUCCCCUCACCCUCACCCCAGGUGGACCCCCCUCAUCAGAGGCUUUAGCAUCAUGAUGUAGCACCCCCCAGUUCCAUAACUGAAGAUAUUGUAACCUUAUUUAAAAGUGCCCAUCUGAAACGGCAUCCUCCACACCUCCAAUCUGCCCUGCAAGCUGAUCUUGAGUCCUGGGUUCCAGCCUCACGUGUGCCCACUAGGACGGGUGGCGGCAGCUGGCAAUACCUUUGUGCAUGGUCCCUACCUAUCCUAAGUCAGCCUCUUCCUUUGGGAAGCCCCUUAUCUCUGGGCGUGGCUGUUUAUUGGCCCCCUCCUUCCUCUCUCUUUCCCCUGGAAGAUCUCAUUCCAGGCUGCUCUCCCAGGGUGGGGUGCCCAGAGGAAGGCCUCAUAAAGAUCUCACUGAUAACUUGGGUUUAUGGCCCUGGAAGAGAAAGGUUUGGGGCUCAGUUUCUGCUGAAAAUGAUUUUGCUUAAGAGAAGCUGGUAGGCGCCGUGCUCCCCCCCUAUCCUGGUGAGCCCCUCCCUAGACAGCAGACCAAGGGUCAACCAAGCUUCAACCUGGCUCUGUGAUGUUGGCCAGGUCAGUUCCCUUCCUGGAUCCAUGCUUCAGAAGCGGGGGGUAUCUGUCCAUGUCUCAGAGGCAGAGGUGAACCUCGACGUGGGAAUCAUUUUUGCCUUUCACACAAUCCCGCCUACCCUGUCCACUGCUCCUUCUACCCCUCUAGAGGUGAGGUCGCCACCUGCUGUCUCUCUAGAGUAUUACAAGAGGAGUUAGCCAUUCCUGACGAGUCUUUGGCGACAGAGGCCCCUAUUCUUCUGGGAAACAGUCUGCUUCUCCAGACACCAGGGACCGGAGGAGACACCAGAAGCCGGGCCCAGAGCAAGCACAGAGUGUCCUCAUCAGAAGGGGUCCUUUGCCCGGCGAUGUGCCAGGAACAAAAGUUGGGCCUUUCAACUUCAGGUCGGAACCGAAAUACGUCUUCCCGAAGGAGCUUCUGAGACCAGAACAAGAACCCUCAUGUUCCCAACCCCAUGUUCUCUGAGUCUCUUUUAUUGUACCAACCACAAACUAGUAUUAUUAAUGCUAUUA
This is a long non-coding RNA of Mesocricetus auratus (golden hamster), 2240 nucleotides long. RefSeq lists it as uncharacterized. The transcript is spliced from 2 exons. NCBI's taxonomy places the organism in Eukaryota, Metazoa, Chordata, Mammalia, Rodentia, Cricetidae. The record is from RefSeq and is a predicted model, not a curated record.